UAGCUCAGUGGUAGAGCGUUUGUCUAACACACACAAAGUCCUGGGUUUGAUUUCCAG
RNAcentral lists this transfer RNA (57 nucleotides) under Fukomys damarensis (Damara mole-rat). It matches the Rfam family "tRNA", at positions 8 to 63 of the family's 71-position model. Rfam says of the family: Transfer RNA (tRNA) molecules are approximately 80 nucleotides in length. Their secondary structure includes four short double-helical elements and three loops (D, anti-codon, and T loops). Further hydrogen bonds mediate the characteristic L-shaped molecular structure. tRNAs have two regions of fundamental functional importance: the anti-codon, which is responsible for specific mRNA codon recognition, and the 3' end, to which the tRNAs corresponding amino acid is attached (by aminoacyl-tRNA synthetases). tRNAs cope with the degeneracy of the genetic code in two manners: having more than one tRNA (with a specific anti-codon) for a particular amino acid; and 'wobble' base-pairing, i.e. permitting non-standard base-pairing at the 3rd anti-codon position. Lineage: Eukaryota; Metazoa; Chordata; Mammalia; Rodentia; Bathyergidae. The record is from Rfam by way of RNAcentral.